Molecule: ribosomal RNA, 228 nt
Filed under: uncultured bacterium
Lineage: Bacteria
Description: partial 16S ribosomal RNA
Rfam family: Bacterial small subunit ribosomal RNA
Source: RNAcentral
GACAGAGGGUGCAAACGUUGCUCGGAAUCACUGGGCGUAAAGGGCGCGUAGGCGGGAAUGUAAGUCGGGCGUGAAAUCCCCAGGCUCAACCUGGGAACUGCACUCGAAACUGCGUUUCUUGAGUAUCGGAGAGGAAAGCGGAAUUCCUGGUGUAGAGGUGAAAUUCGUAGAUAUCAGGAGGAACACCAGUGGCGGAAGGCGGCUUUCUGGACGGUAACUGACGCUGAG